This 599-nucleotide ribosomal RNA is filed under the name uncultured Alphaproteobacteria bacterium. RNAcentral describes it as "bacterial SSU rRNA". It matches the Rfam family "Bacterial small subunit ribosomal RNA", at positions 84 to 717 of the family's 1533-position model. Lineage: Bacteria; Pseudomonadati; Pseudomonadota; Alphaproteobacteria. The record is from RNAcentral.
AGCAAUACUUAGUGGCAGACGGGUGAGUAACAUGUGGGUAUCUUCCCUUUGGUGAGGAAUAACACGAGGAAACUUGUGCUAAUACCUCAUAAGUCUUUACGGAGAAAGCUUUAUGCGCCAAUGGAUGAGCCCGCACUUGAUUAGUUUGUUGGUGGGGUAAUGGCCUACCAAGACUUUGAUCAAUAGCUGAUCUGAGAGGAUGAUCAGCCACAUUGGGACUGAGACACGGCCCAAACUCCUACGGGAGGCAGCAGUAGGGAAUAUUGCACAAUGGAGGAAACUCUGAUGCAGCGAUGCCGCGUGAGUGAAGAAGGCCCUUGGGUUGUAAAGCUCUUUCGUCGGGGAAGAAAAUGACUGUACCCGAAUAAGAAGGUCCGGCUAACUUCGUGCCAGCAGCCGCGGUAAUACGAAGGGACCUAGCGUAGUUCGGAAUUACUGGGCUUAAAGAGUUCGUAGGUGGUUAAAAAAGUUGGUGGUGAAAUCCCAGAGCUUAACUCUGGAACUGCCAUCAAAACUUUUUAGCUAGAGUAUGAUAGAGGAAAGCAGAAUUUCUAGUGUAGAGGUGAAAUUCGUAGAUAUUAGAAAGAAUACCAAUUGCG